GAAAUGCGAUAAGUAAUGUGAAUUGCAGAAUUCAGUGAAUCAUCGAAUCUUUGAACGCACAUUGCGCCCGCCGGCAUUCCGGCGGGCAUGCCCGUUCGAGCGUCAUUUUCAACUCCUUCCUGCGGAAGAGAGAGAGAAGCAAAGCUCUCUUCUCACCCGCGGGGCGUUGGCACCGGGCGCCGCCUAGGCGGCCGGAGCCCAAAUGCAGCGGCGGACACGCGGCGGCCCUUAGCGCAGUAGAACCUGUUCUCGCUCAGGAGGCACGCGGCGGUGGACCACAGCCCAAGCGAAAACUCAGAAACUUGACCUCGGAUCGGGUAGGACUACCCGCUGAACUUAA
Molecule: unclassified non-coding RNA, 340 nt
Filed under: uncultured Physalospora
Lineage: Eukaryota; Fungi; Ascomycota; Sordariomycetes; Amphisphaeriales; Hyponectriaceae
Description: sequence contains ITS1
Rfam family: 5.8S ribosomal RNA (bases 1-105)
Source: RNAcentral